GACGUGGCGGAACGGCAGACGCGCUAGACUUAGGAUCUAGUGCCGCAAGGCGUAAGGGUUCAAGUCCCUUCGUC
RNAcentral lists this transfer RNA (74 nucleotides) under Synechococcus sp. JA-2-3B'a(2-13). It matches the Rfam family "tRNA". Rfam says of the family: Transfer RNA (tRNA) molecules are approximately 80 nucleotides in length. Lineage: Bacteria; Bacillati; Cyanobacteriota; Cyanophyceae; Synechococcales; Synechococcaceae. The record is from Rfam by way of RNAcentral.